CAAUAGCGUAUAUUAAAGUUGUUGCGGUUAAAAAGUUCGUAGUUGGAUUUCUGUAAGGAGAGACCCUGCGGCCUUCGUGCCGAUGUGUGGUCUGCUCUUUGCAUAAUUCUAGUGACACGCAGGUUCGCCCUGUGUGAUCUCUGGGAACGUUACUUUGAGGAAAUUAGAGUGUUCCAGGCAGGCAUAAGCUAUGAAUAUAGUAGCAUGGAAUAACAAUAUAUGGCCUCGGCUGUAUUUUGUUGGUUUCUAUGGCCGAAGCAAUGAUUAAUAGGGACAGUCGGGGGCAUUCGUAUUCAACUGUCAGAGGUGAAAUUCUUGGAUUAGUUGAAGACGAACUACUGCGAAAGCAUCUGCCCAGGAUGCCUUCUUUGA
Molecule: ribosomal RNA, 372 nt
Filed under: uncultured eukaryote
Lineage: Eukaryota
Description: partial 18S ribosomal RNA
Rfam family: Eukaryotic small subunit ribosomal RNA
Source: RNAcentral